UUGAAAGGGAAACGAUUGAAGUCAGUCAUACCAACGGGAAAUCAACCUUUUGAGCUUGGUCUCGUGGGUUUUGAAGAGUUUCAAAGCCUUCGGACUCGCGGGAUUGGGAUCUCUUGGUGUACUUUCUCGUACGGUUAGUCAACAUCGGUUUUGAAUGUCAUAAAAUGACUGGAGGAAUGUAGCUUCUUGAAGUGUUAUAGCCUUUGGUAGAUGUGAUGUUUGAGACCGAGGAUUGCAACGGAUACCCUUCAGGGCUAUUCGUCUGAUCUCUGAUACGUUGCCUUGAUGUUGAAAGCUUGCUUAUGAUGUCAGGGUAUUACGGUCAAAAGGUUAGAACGAAUUCAUUCGUUAAGGAUGUUGACGUA
RNAcentral lists this ribosomal RNA (365 nucleotides) under uncultured Glomeromycotina. RNAcentral's name for it is "LSU rRNA". The record is from RNAcentral. Lineage: Eukaryota; Fungi; Glomeromycota.